GUGUGUUCUUAGUCAUCUUUUGGAAACAUUGACCCUGAAACUGCAGGCAGACUCUGAAGAAAAAAAAGAAUUAAGUCGGAUCUGGUCGUUCAUUCAUGCGUGCACUCAAACAUCUUGCCAGCGUUCACCGUAUCAGAAAGCCAUUUUUGCAGAUGAAGAUGGAUCUGGAGAUAGUGAUGAUGAAGAAGAAAUUUCUGAACAUGACAGAUUGGAAACCGUCUCUAGUAAUGAGGAAGCAGAAGAGGAGGAAAAUGCUGAUCAGUAUAUGACUGCUAAGGGCAUCAAACAAGGAAAACUUGAGGAGUUGGAAGAAGACAGUGAAGUUAAUUUGCCAGCAUUUGCUGACCGAGACGAUGAGCUUGAGGGGAACUCAGCAGAAGGGGAAGUGAAAUAAGCUGGGGAAAGCAGUGAGGAAGAGGACUGCACUGCAGGAGAGAGGGGCAUUUCAGGAUCAAAGACUGUUGGAGAAGGUAGUAAAGCAGAGCUGUCACCAGCUAAUCCCCGGAGUGACCCUGUAAAUCUGGAGAAGUCUGUCAAUGAAGAAAGCAGCCCUCACCUCUUCGUUUCUGGGCACUGCACAGCUGUGCCAUUUUCAUCUGAAGAUGAAUCUGAAGAAAGCUCUUCACUCAGUGCAGAGGAAGAGGACUUGGAAAAUGAGGACACUUUUAGGAAAAAAGUUUCAGAGCCUUCUCAAGUGGGCAGUGGUCAGGAACUGGGGUGAAGAAACUUAAUUGAUGAGACCAGUGAUAUAGAAAUUUACUCAAAGAAGAAGAAGAUUGCAAGGAAGAGAAGAGUGAUUCCACCGAAGCCUCAGGUGCCCUCAAGUGGAAGGAAGACCUUUUCCAGAAAGGCAACUGAGGCCUUUGUGAGGCAGCAACAAGCAGCUCUAAACCUCCGAAAGCUUAUUUAUGGGACAGGUAAAGAAUUCUGGUUCAGAGCUGGAAACGUUUCAGUUUCUGUAAUUAUUUUCUGAAAAGGAGAUAGGGAAUUGGUUGGAGGAUUGGGCUGAUAUUGUUGACAUCCAUCAUUGCUGGCCGUCAUUUGGCAGACGUCUUUAAUCAUCAGCUUACGAGGACCACAUAUUGGUCUUGUGAAGUACCUUUAUGGGUUUGUUAUAAAACUCAAUGCAAGUCAUGUCCGUUGCAUCAUGUAAUGUCCCCUUUUAAAAAGUCAUUCAUGAGAAAUUUUUUUGUAGAAUUUAGUGCCAGAAAAAUAUUUCUGCCCAUAUAAGUAUUUAUUUGUUCCUUUCUGAGAAUGAGAACCCUGUAUAACACAUUUUGUUCUCCCUUUUGCCCUUGUCCUCUGAUUUUAUGCUUUGUUAAACCUACCUAUAUGUUCUUUGUGGUAGAAUUAAUGGUUAAAAUAAACAUAGAGUGGUGAACUUUACAUCGUGUUUUCUGGUUGCUGCACGAUGAGAUCAAUGCCACAUGGUGAGACACUUGGGCUCGGCACAGUGAAUUGGGAGGGUUGUUGUGUACUGAUUUUCAUUCACCUUUUGUCUAGGUACUCUCAGUGAUGAGAAGCUCAGCACUCUUUAGAGCUCUUCUUUAAUAAUUGAAAGCUCUGGUUUUAAAUGUCCCUUCCCUCCUUGACCCCUAAUAUUCUAAGUCCUCCUCAACUGCUUAGCUGCUGCCGUGCAGGACUGCAGGAGCCCCCACACAUGUAGAGGAAUAGCUUCCUGGCCUCUCUUUACCUGUAGCUGACCUGCCCUCUCAGUGUCUGACUCAUAUGUGGCCAUUGCCAUACUUAUCACAGACAGUUUCUUCCACUGAGUUGGAAGAAUCGUGGCCUAACUGGUUGAAAACAAUGAGUCCUGUAGGGCUGUAGGUUUUGUUGUCACUUUUCUGCCAUGGUGUUCUCUUUAGUGACAGAAGAUAAUGAAGAAGAUUAUGAUACCUGAGAAGAGCUUGGAGGGUUGUUUUGUGUCAGCCAGCCUGACAGAGAGUGUAAGCACAAGGCUGACUCUUUGGACUGCUUUCGAUUUCUUGUGGAGGUGCCCCCUGACUGGAAUGUAGAGGAGGUAAGACUGUGUAAUACGUUUGAUUUAUUAGAGAGUUGUUCUAGAAUAAGAUUAUCUGAUGUCAAUAUUCCUUACCUGUUGUUGGUUUCUUAUUUUUAUUGGAUGACAGGUCAUCCUCACAGAUACUGUGGUGGGCACUCCAUGCAUUCUAAGCAAUAACACAUUCUGAGUUUAGUUAGUCCAUUGCACAGCCCACGGAGGACAGGUUCAGCUUCCAGUUUGAAUAGCAGUGCCAAUCUUUAUUUUGAAGCAUCACACAUAAAUUUUUAUACAUCUGAUGUAUUUUUUGUCUUAUCACUAGGAUAUAUGUAGCAUCCCUGAGUUAACAUAGUUUCUGCUAUUCGUAAGCAUCCAGAAAUCUGUGAUACCUGUAAAUGUUCUUCCUGCAGCUCACCACUUUAUAGUCACACUGGAAUUCAUUCAGUACUCAAACGCCACACAGCUUAUCCUCGUCUUAGGCCUUUUCUCUUUCUCUCUCUUUUUUGAGACAAGGUCUUGCUCUACAUUCCAGGCUGGAGUGCAGUGGCAUGAGUGUACGGCCCACUGCAGCCUCGACCUCCUGGGCUCAAGGGAUCUUCCCACCUCAGCCAUCAGAGUAGCUGGGACCAUAGGCACGAGCCACCAGGCCUGGCUGCUUUUUGCAUUUUUUAUAGAGACAAUGUUUCACCAUGUUGAGCUAGUCUCAAACUCUAGGCUAGAGUGAUCUUCCUGCCUUGCCCUCCCAAGAGUGCUGGGAUUACAGGAGUGAGCCAUUGCGUCACCCCUUUUCUCUACAUUCUCUUCUGGAAUGUUCUGAUCUUCCAAAGGCUGCCUUCUUUUUUAUCAAUUCAGUUUGGCUUAGGUGUCACUUCUCACAGAGGCCCAAUUGCUCUCAUCCUGCCUAUUGUAAUUUUCCAGGUAACACUUAAUGCUCUUUAUGAGAUUUUUAUUUAACCAUUUUUUAAUGGUGAAAUUUAAUACAGAUAUAGAAAACCACGUAAAAACAAUUGUUUAACUUAAUGGGCUGCCAGAAGGUGAAUACCCCUGUACUCAGCACUCAGGCUGGGAAAUCAAGCUUUGCUGCUUGAUUGUGACACCUGCCAGGGUCCUCUUCUUGUGGAAGGCGGUGUGGUCCAGCCUCUUGUGGCGACUCUUUUUUUUCUUCCUGGUUUCCUCUUCCAUGCUUCCAUAAGCAUCAUAGUUUACUUUUACCUGAUUUUCAUUAUGGGUUUUCCGUCUAUCUUUUAAAAUUUUUGGUCAACAAUCUUCCUUCACAUUUCCUUUUUUUGAUUACAUUUUAUUUAAGAAACCAAGUUGUUGGUCUGUAGAGGUUCUUGUAUUCUGGAUUUUGUGGAUUGCUUUGCAUCACUCUGCCAUGUCUCAGGCCCUCCUGUAUUUCCUGUGCAUGGGUACGGAACAUUACUGAUAUAAAUUCUGUAAUGACUGGAAUGUAUAUCCAAGGUGUGGGUUGUGGCUACUUGUGGCUACUGGGCACUUUGAAUAUGGCUAGUGAGAUGGGAUAACUAAUUUAAAAAUUUUAUUUAAUCUUAAUUAAGAUGAAUUUAAAUAGCCACAUGGUUGUAUUUACCUGAUGGAUGACACAUGUAGCAGUUGGAUAGGAUUUAAAUUUGAUUUUUAUUUUUCAGUGAAACUUCUUCCCAGGUGGUGGUGUUUUCUUACUGAGAGGCAUAUAAGGACUGGUUGUGUCCUUUUAACGGCAUGAGAUGGAGAGAUGGUCUAAUCUGCCAUACACUGGGGCAGUGGCCAGUGAUUUGAAUUUCAUGGCAUAGAUGGAAACUUCCAGGUUCUCUUGGUGGUAGGCAGAGGCCUCAGUUUUUAAGAAACUUCCCAGUUUCACCCCUGCCAAUGAGGAUGUUGAUUGAGGAUAUUCCUAUCAGUUUUAAGUAGAAGAGAUUGUUUCUUGAUGUUGAAUUUCAGGUAAGGAAUCUAGCUCCUGCAUAUCACGGUGGUGGUGCUUGGGCUGAGACAGGUCUAGAGAGCACAGUCUGAAAAGGGGCUCAAGGAAGUAGCUGUGAAAGACCCCUGGGAUGUUUUCUGCUCCCCUCUCUGCAAAUCCCCUGGAGGGAGAUCCCGUUAGUCACUAUGGAGUGUGUGUGUGUGGGGGGGGGGGCGUGUGUGUGUGUGUUCAUCACUUCUUUUAUUUUCAUUUUAUUUUUCUGCAUAAAGUCUGCAGACUUUCCAACAGUACCUUGAUGUUUUCUGAAAGCAGAGUCUAUGUGCACACUCUAGGGCCUGAGGCCUCAAUUUGGUGGUAUUUACUUGGGACUGGUGUGUACCUACAAACUGUGUGAUGGGGUCAGGGCCAAAGAACACUAGUUUCUGUGUUAAAAAGAUAUUUCUUUCAACUGGAUAACAGGCCAAGCCUAGUAGAGAAAAGGUCUACUCUGCCAUAGGAUGGGGCAGCAGCCUGCAGUUCAGAAGACUGUUGUGUGUCUGGAAAUUUCCAGAGCCUCCAUUUGCUGGCAGAGGGCCAGAAGGGAGGGCGCAUUUGUUUGCAGAUCAGAGGAGGGGGUCCGUUCACCCUGACGUGAUGUUGGCCAUGUGUGGACCCUUGAGUUUUCAGGGUUGGAUGUCCUGACUGACACUGCCAUAGGAGGGUGUAAGAGGCUGAGAGUGAUGCAAUUGUAGGCUGUGGGGAUGAUAUUCACAGGAAGCCUCCCUGUUGCCUGUGGCAAGAGCAAAGAGUGAAAUGCUUGGGGCUGGGAAGAGGCAACAAAAGCCUACAGAAUCUAUUCUCAGUUCAUCUCCCAUCCUAGUCCUAUCAUGGCCUAACAUCCUUAGCUACCGAUUGCUGAGGAGAUUCUGCACAUUUGUGUUCAUGUGGCCUUGGUUGUCGGCAGCUUAACAUUGGUGCCCAUGGCAUCUGUGCCUGCAUCUGCCAUUUCAAUGGGCUCAGAAACAGGCUAAAGGGCCUGCAAGCUUCCUCCAGUUUCCUUGUAUAUGCAUGUGGAAUAUACUCUCUUGGCCUGGGUCUUUCCUGCCUUUUCUUGCCAGUUGGGUCAGAUCUAGCUUAUUAACCAGUGUUUUUUGAGCUUUAAUAGAACUGGCUCAGACCAGUUGGAGACCUGAAAAGGGCUAUGUGAUAGACAUUUUUUUUAGAGUAGUUUCAAAUAUACAGCAAAAUGGAGUACAGACUCCAAAGUUUCCAUAUGCCCUCAAUUGCUGUACACUCUUGGGUCACUCCACUAACAACCUCCUAUACCAGAGUAGAAUAUUUGUCAUAGUCAUGGACUUAUACUGACAUGUCAUCAUCACCCAGAGUGAUACCCUUGGUGACGCACAUUCUGAGGGUUUGGAGAAAUGUAUAACAAGUAUAUGUAUAAUGAAUGUAUCAUCAUAGCUGUCAUGAUAUCCUGCAGUGUAUUUUCACUAUGGUAAUUAUCUUGUGCUCUAUUUAUUUAUCCUCUCUUUUCCUAACCACCGCAAACCACUAAUCUUUUCAGUCUCCAUAGUUUUGCAUUUUUCUGAACGUUAUGUUCAUGGAAUCGUAGAGCAGAUAGCUUUCCAGAUUGGCUUCUUUCAGUUAGUAAUAUGCAUUUAACAUUCCUCAGUGUCUUCUGAUGGCUCAAUAGCUCAUUUCUUUUUAGAAGUGAUUAAUAUUUCAUUUUCUAAAUAUACCACAGUGUUAUUUAUCAGUUAAGCUACUGAAGGACAACUUAGUUCUUCCUACGUUUUGGUAGCUAUUUUAGAAACUGCUAUUAAACAUCUGUGUUCAGGUUUUUGUGUGGACAUCAGCUUUCUGGUCAUUUGAAUAAAGACCUAGGGACUGCAGCUGCUGGAUCACACAGUAAGAGUAUGUGUAGUUCUAUAAGAAACUGCCCAUAAUAGGAGAGUCUUUACAAUGGUAGAGGAGAACAUGUUAACAUACUGAAGAAUCAGUCCACUGAAGGAGAUAGAACUUGAGGAUCUAGAAAGAAUGAUGUAACCAUGAGAGCUGUUAAAAGAUAUGAUUAGGCUGGGUGUGGUGGCUAAAGCCUGUAAUCCCAGCACUUUGGGAAGCCGAGGUGGGUGGAUCACGAGGUCAAGAGAUCGAGACCAUCCUGGUCAACAUGGUGAAACCCCAUCUCUACUAAAAAUACAAAAAAUUAGCUGGGCAUGGUGGCACAUGCCUGUAAUCCCAGCUACUCAGGAGGCUGAGGCAGGAGAACUGCCUGAACCCAGGAGGCGGAGGUUGUGGUGAGCUGAGAUCAUGCCAUUGCACUCCAGCCUGGGUAACAAGAGCAAAACUCAUAUAAUUAAGGCAUUAUGAAAUGUUAGGAGGUAUAUUUGAGCAUUCAGAAAUUUAAAACCAGGCAGCCCCAGGCUACAAGCAGCUCAGAGCUCCAACAUAGAGGAUUUGGGAGGGUAGGAGAAGACUUACAUUGUGAUUGUAGAAGGAAAAGAAAAUGCUUGAUCUGGUAAAGUGCAGCAGUGGUCUCAUUUGGAUCAUUACAGUGGAAAGUCUCUAGGUAGAUGUUAGUUGAUGGUUUCUGACUGGUUAAGCUUAAGGUUCCUUUUAUUUACACUGAGUCAAGUUUUGGUUUGUUUAAGGUGGAACUGAGAGCACUGCACUGGAGCCAUCCUGAGCCUCAUGGCCCCCUGUUUAUUUGAUUAUUUUUUUCACAGAGAAGACCCUUUAAAAAAUAUCCAUUGCCCUGCCUCGAGUGCAGUGGUAUGAUCACAGCUCACUGCAGCCUCAACCUUCCAGGCCCAGGUGAUUGUCCCACCUCAGUGCUCCCCAUCCUCAGUAGCUGGUACUAUAGGCAUGUGCCACCAUACCACCAUGCUCAGCUAAUUAUUUAUCUGUAUUUGUUUUAGAGGUGGGAUUUCUCUCAGUUGCUUAGGCUUGUUUCAAAGUCCUGGACUCAAAUAAUCUGCCUGCAUUGGCCUCCCCAAUUGCCAGAAUUACAGGCCAUCUGACACAAGAAAAGAAAAUGAAAUACCACAUGUUCUCACUCUUAGGCAGGUGUUGAACAAUGAGAACACAUGGACACAGGGAGGGGAGCACUACACACUGGGGUCUG
Callithrix jacchus (white-tufted-ear marmoset) is the source of this 7023-nucleotide non-coding RNA. The record is from RefSeq and is a predicted model, not a curated record. NCBI's taxonomy places the organism in Eukaryota, Metazoa, Chordata, Mammalia, Primates, Cebidae.